This 488-nucleotide ribosomal RNA is filed under the name uncultured bacterium. RNAcentral describes it as "partial 16S ribosomal RNA". It matches the Rfam family "Bacterial small subunit ribosomal RNA", at positions 30 to 507 of the family's 1533-position model. The record is from RNAcentral.
AUUGAACGCUGGCGGCAUGCUUUACACAUGCAAGUCGAACGGCAGCACAGGGAGCUUGCUCCUGGGUGGCGAGUGGCGAACGGGUGAGUAAUGUAUCGGAACGUGCCUGGUAGUGGGGGAUAACUACUCGAAAGAGUGGCUAAUACCGCAUGAGAUCUUUGGAUGAAAGCGGGGGACCUUCGGGCCUCGUGCUACUGGAGCGGCCGAUAUCAGAUUAGGUUGUUGGUGGGGUAAAGGCCUACCAAGCCUGCGAUCUGUAGCUGGUCUGAGAGGACGACCAGCCACACUGGGACUGAGACACGGCCCAGACUCCUACGGGAGGCAGCAGUGGGGAAUUUUGGACAAUGGGCGCAAGCCUGAUCCAGCAAUGCCGCGUGCAGGACGAAGGCCUUCGGGUUGUAAACUGCUUUUGUACAGAACGUAAAGUCUCUGGCUAAUAUCUAGAGAUCAUGACGGUACUGGAAGAAUAAGCACCGGCUAACUACGUG